RNAcentral lists this ribosomal RNA (466 nucleotides) under uncultured bacterium. Its description in RNAcentral is "partial 16S ribosomal RNA". It matches the Rfam family "Bacterial small subunit ribosomal RNA", at positions 28 to 507 of the family's 1533-position model. The record is from RNAcentral.
GAUGAACGCUGGCGGCGUGCUUAACACAUGCAAGUCGAACGAAGAGGCCCAGCUUUUGGGGCGUUUUCGUGGGGCACGGGCGAGUGAAACACGCGUGACUAGCCCCCCUAUCUGGGUUAAAUCUGGCAAACAGGGCGGAUCAUAGGCCAGAUGAGCUCUCCGUCCGCUGGGUGCUGGAGAGAUUUAUCGGUUUUGGAUGGCCUCGCGGUGAAUCAGCUCGUUUGUGAGGUAUUGGUUCACGAAGGGGUCGACGGGUAGCCGGCCUGUGAGGGUGACCGGCGACACUGGGACUGAGACACGGCGCAGAAUCCUACGGGAGGCAGCAGUGGGGAAUAUUGCACAAUGGGCGCAAGCCUGAUGCAGCGACGCCGCGUGCGGGAUGACGGCCUUCGGGUUGUAAACCGCUUUCGAAGGAGAAGAAGCGGUAGUGACGGUAACUGCUAAAGAAGCACCGGCUAACUACGUG